This 849-nucleotide long non-coding RNA is filed under the name Chinchilla lanigera (long-tailed chinchilla). Its description in RNAcentral is "lncRNA (ENSCLAG00000029169.1)". Lineage: Eukaryota; Metazoa; Chordata; Mammalia; Rodentia; Chinchillidae. The record is from RNAcentral.
AUGUGUGUUCUGGGAGGGGGCGAGCCUGUUCACAAAAAGAGUGGGGGGCAGCACCGAAGCCCAUGCUGCGACUCGAGCCUCCCUCCCACAGGGACUGGAGUCAGAAACCCAAGUCCCUGCUGCGUUUUGACAACACGGACGGACCUGGGGCAGGACGGGUGCAAGAGGAUGCCCUCGCUGGCACAGGAGGAGGUGGGAGGAACUUCUUCACAAAAUGGUGUGAAAACUAAUUGGCUCUGUGGAGAGAUGACCCCAUCCUCCCUGCACACAUACAAACACCAGGCGCUCCCCAGUACCGCGACCACCUCCCGCUACAAGUCUCUACUAGAGGACGCAACAGCUCCCAGAACCUGAGUCCAAACCACUGUGAUGGUGCCUGGUAGAAUCAAUGCACUGGGCAACCCAGCAGCGAAUGAGGGCAGCAAUAUAAGAAAGAGCCCCAGCCCCCACGUGCAUGGAAUACGGGAGCCGCACUGGACUUCAGAGAGCAGCGGCUGAGCACCGGAGGCUUCCGUGGAAAGGGUACUUCCGCCACAGCGUAAACAGACGCAUGGAGGAGCUCCUGUGGGCUGACUUGCAGUCUGCACUGUCUUUAAACCUGUGUGUGUGUGUGUGUGUGUCUGUGUGUGUGUGUAAGUAUGUAAGGACUAUAAGCACCUUCUCUGUGGCAUUUGCCAUAAAUGACAAUAAAACUUCAGGGUGAAAUAAGUGUUACUGAGUUCUUUUCUUACAGAGCAAUGAUACUGUAUUGCUGAUCCCAGGCAAAAAGUUACACUUCUAAAGAGAAAGAAGAUGUCAACAGGCCCCUUUUUCCCCCUAUUAAGAAAAAAUGACUGUGCAGCUUUUAAA